AUGAACGCUGGCGGCGUGCCUAAUACCUGCAAGUCGAGCGAACAGACGAGGAGCUUGCUCCUCUGACGUUAGCGGCGGACGGGUGAGUAACACGUGGAUAACCUACCUAUAAGACUGGGAUAACUUCGGGAAACCGGAGCUAAUACCGGAUAAUAUAUUGAACCGCAUGGUUCAAUAGUGAAAGACGGUUUUGCUGUCACUUAUAGAUGGAUCCGCGCCGCAUUAGCUAGUUGGUAAGGUAACGGCUUACCAAGGCGACGAUGCGUAGCCGACCUGAGAGGGUGUUCGGCCACACUGGAACUGAGACACGGUCCAGACUCCUACGUGCGGCAGCAGUAGGGAAUCUUCCGCAAUGGGCGAAAGCCUGACGGAGCAACGCCGCGUGAGUGAUGAAGGUCUUCGGAUCGUAAAACGCUGUUAUUAGGGAAGAACAAAUGUGUAAGUAACUAUGCACGUCUUGACGGUACCUAUUCAGAAAGCCACGGCUAACUACGU
This 495-nucleotide ribosomal RNA is filed under the name uncultured bacterium. RNAcentral describes it as "partial 16S ribosomal RNA". It matches the Rfam family "Bacterial small subunit ribosomal RNA", at positions 29 to 506 of the family's 1533-position model. The record is from RNAcentral.